This 67-nucleotide transfer RNA is filed under the name Melipona scutellaris. Its description in RNAcentral is "tRNA-Arg". RNAcentral also lists the same sequence under 1 other name. The record is from RNAcentral. Lineage: Eukaryota; Metazoa; Arthropoda; Insecta; Hymenoptera; Apidae.
AAAUAUGAAGUAAUUAAUUUUACAUUUAAUUUCGACUUAAAAAUAAAUCAUUUUUGAUUCUUAUUUA